This is an RNA transcript of Haemorhous mexicanus (house finch), 2186 nucleotides long. It is a transcript of the gene named thioredoxin interacting protein, with no coding region annotated. NCBI's taxonomy places the organism in Eukaryota, Metazoa, Chordata, Aves, Passeriformes, Fringillidae. The record is from RefSeq and is a predicted model, not a curated record. The transcript has 7 exons.
AUGGUGAUGUUCAAGAAAGUGAAGAACUUCGCUGUGGCCUUCAGCGAGCCCGACAAGGUUUAUUUCAGCGGGGACAAGGUGGCCGGGCGUGUGCUGGUGGAGGUGGCCGAGGUGACCCGUGUCACCGCCGUCAAGGUGCUGGCGUGUGGCGUGGCCAGGGUGACCUGGGCCAAGGGCCCGGCGCAGUGCCGGCAGGAGAUGGAGUACCUGCGCUUCGAGGACGUGCUGGCCCUGGAGGAGCAGCCCACAGAUGAGGACGGCUCAGUCAUCCUGAGACCCGGCAACAAGUACGAGUACAAAUUCGGCUUCGAGCUGCCCCAGGGGCCGCUGGGCACCACGUUCAAGGGCAAGUAUGGCUCUGUGGAUUACUGGGUGCAGGCGUCCCUGGAGCGCCCGUCCUGCCCCGCUCAGCAGAUCAAGAAACGCUUCGAGGUGAUGGAUCCUGUGGAUGUGAACACCCCAGAACUGCUGUCUCCAGUGGCAGCCAAAAAGGAGAAGAAAGUGUCGUGCAUGUUCAUCCCGGAUGGACGCGUGUCUGUCAGCGCCCAGAUCGACAGGAAGGGCUUCUGUGAAGGUGAGGAUUGCUGGGAGCAGGGAAUUGGGGUGGGGGGAACCAGUGAGGAACCCCCAGCACCCCUAAACACGGCUGUUUUUUCCCUUUGUGCAGGUGAUGAGAUCUGCAUCAACGCCGACUUCGAGAACACCUGCUCCCGCAUCGUGGUGCCCAAGGCAGCCAUCGUGGCCAAGCACACCUACCUGGCCAACGGGCAGACCAAGGUGUUCUCCCAAAAACUCUCCUGCGUUCGUGGCAACCACAUCAUCUCCGGCACCUCCGAGUCCUGGCGUGGCAAAACCAUCCGUGUGAAGAAGCUCAAACCCUCCAUCCUGGGCUGCAACAUCCUCAGGGUGGAGUAUUUCCUGCAGAUCUACGUCAGCGUGCCAGGCUCCAAGAAAAUCAUCCUGGAGCUGCCCCUGGUGAUCGGGAGCCGCUCUGGCAUCGGCAGCCGCAGCUCCAGCAUGGCCAGUCAGACCAGUUCCGAGAUGAGCUGGGUGGACCUGAACCUCCCCGACGCUCCCGAGGCUCCCCCGUGCUACCUGGACAUCGUUCCCGAGGAUCACCGGCUGGAGAGCCCCACCACGCCCCUGCUGGACGAUCCCGACGGCUUUGACAGCCCCAUCUUCAUGUACGCGCCCGAGUUCAAGUUCAUGCCUCCCCCCACCUACACGGAGGUGAGCACGGCAGCUCCGGGGCAGGGGCCAGGUGGAUCUGGGAUCACCUGGCCGGAUUCCUCACCCUCCUCCUGCUCCCAGGUGGAUCCCUGCGUCUCCAACAACAACAACAACAUCAACCAGUGAGCUCUCGGUGUGCCACAAACCUGCAGCACAUCUGGAGAGGGGGAAAACAAAAAAAACAAAAACUGCCACAUUCCCGAGGAGCUGCUGCAUUUCCCGAGGAGCUGCUGCAUUUCCCGAGGGGUUCCUGCACUCCCCAUCCCAAAUCUCGAGGAUAAAAAACCCCUCGAGCGCUGUGGGGAGACGAGGUGGAUCCAGCUGGGAAAAACCUCGAGGUGGAUCCAGCUGGGGAGAACCUCGAGGUGGAUCAAACCUGGAGGCAGAUCCAGCUGGGGAGAACCUCGAGGCAGAUCCAGCUGGGGAGAACCUCGAGGUGGAUCCAGCUGGGGAGAACCUCGAGGUGGAUCCAGCUGGGAGAACCUCGAGGUGGAUCCAGCUGGGGAGAACCUCGCAGCAGAUCCAGCUGGGGAGAACCUGGAGGCAGAUCCAGCUGGGGAGAACCUCGAGGCAGAUCAAACCUGGAGGUGGAUCCAGCUGGGGAGAACCUCGAGGUGGAUCAAACCUCGAGGCGGAUCCAGCUGGGAAAAACCUCCUCUGUCGUGGUCCUUGCCCUGUCGCGACACGGGCCGGGCGGGGAGUUGUGGUUUUUAAUCAAUUCCAUCCGGAUUUGGUGACUCCGGGAGGAGGAGGAGGAGGAGCUGUGACGCGGUGAAUCCGUCCUGUCGCGACACAACGUGCGUGUCACGACCUUUUGUACUCUUUGUUUUUUGUACAUAGCGUUUCGGGGAGGGAGGGAUGGGGGGAAAGAAAGCACAGAAAUGCAAAUUUUGUACUUUGUCGUGGCCCCUGGGGGGCGAAAUUUGUAAUAAAGUUGUAAUAAAUCAAUGGAAUUA